Long non-coding RNA from Cercocebus atys (sooty mangabey), 225 nucleotides. RefSeq lists it as uncharacterized. The transcript has 2 exons. NCBI's taxonomy places the organism in Eukaryota, Metazoa, Chordata, Mammalia, Primates, Cercopithecidae. The record is from RefSeq and is a predicted model, not a curated record.
ACAGAGGAGGGUAGGGAAGGGAGCAAAGACAAGCAAGGACAGGCAGAGGCAGCAAGCAUCAGCGCAUGUGGACAUGGUGAGGACAGAGGCAGCCAGGGGUGUGCAGGAAGAAGCUUGGCAGAAAAGAAAGCAGUGGAAAGAGGGAGAACAAAGGCAGGCAGGAGAAGGGUAUGGGAGCCCAGGAAGCGGACAUUGAGAGAAAGACAGGAUUGGAAAGAGACAGAA